Molecule: ribosomal RNA, 893 nt
Filed under: Escherichia coli
Lineage: Bacteria; Pseudomonadati; Pseudomonadota; Gammaproteobacteria; Enterobacterales; Enterobacteriaceae
Description: partial 23S ribosomal RNA
Rfam family: Bacterial large subunit ribosomal RNA
Source: RNAcentral
AGACUCAGUGAAAUUGAACUCGCUGUGAAGAUGCAGUGUACCCGCGGCAAGACGGAAAGACCCCGUGAACCUUUACUAUAGCUUGACACUGAACAUUGAGCCUUGAUGUGUAGGAUAGGUGGGAGGCUUUGAAGUGUGGACGCCAGUCUGCAUGGAGCCGACCUUGAAAUACCACCCUUUAAUGUUUGAUGUUCUAACGUUGACCCGUAAUCCGGGUUGCGGACAGUGUCUGGUGGGUAGUUUGACUGGGGCGGUCUCCUCCUAAAGAGUAACGGAGGAGCACGAAGGUUGGCUAAUCCUGGUCGGACAUCAGGAGGUUAGUGCAAUGGCAUAAGCCAGCUUGACUGCGAGCGUGACGGCGCGAGCAGGUGCGAAAGCAGGUCAUAGUGAUCCGGUGGUUCUGAAUGGAAGGGCCAUCGCUCAACGGAUAAAAGGUACUCCGGGGAUAACAGGCUGAUACCGCCCAAGAGUUCAUAUCGACGGCGGUGUUUGGCACCUCGAUGUCGGCUCAUCACAUCCUGGGGCUGAAGUAGGUCCCAAGGGUAUGGCUGUUCGCCAUUUAAAGUGGUACGCGAGCUGGGUUUAGAACGUCGUGAGACAGUUCGGUCCCUAUCUGCCGUGGGCGCUGGAGAACUGAGGGGGGCUGCUCCUAGUACGAGAGGACCGGAGUGGACGCAUCACUGGUGUUCGGGUUGUCAUGCCAAUGGCACUGCCCGGUAGCUAAAUGCGGAAGAGAUAAGUGCUGAAAGCAUCUAAGCACGAAACUUGCCCCGAGAUGAGUUCUCCCUGACUCCUUGAGAGUCCUGAAGGAACGUUGAAGACGACGACGUUGAUAGGCCGGGUGUGUAAGCGCAGCGAUGCGUUGAGCUAACCGGUACUAAUGAACCGUGAGG